GAUGAACGCUGGCGGCGUGCCUAACACAUGCAAGUCGAGCGGAGAAUAAGGAGGAGCUUGCUCCACCUUAUACUUAGCGGCGGACGGGUGAGUAACGCGUGGGCAACCUGCCCUAUACAGGGGGAUAACACUAAGAAAUUGGUGCUAAUACCCCAUAAGCUGACGAGACGGCAUCGUUUUGUUGGAAAAGAUUUAUCGGUAUAGGAGGGACCCGCGUCUGAUUAGCUAGUUGGUGAGGUAACGGCUCACCAAGGCGACGAUCAGUAGCCGACCUGAGAGGGUGAUCGGCCACAUUGGAACUGAGACACGGUCCAAACUCCUACGGGAGGCAGCAGUGGGGAAUAUUGGUCAAUGGUCGGAAGACUGAACCAGCCAAGUCGCGUGAGGGAAGACAGCCCUAUGGGUUGUAAACCUCUUUUAUAUGGGAAUAACAGGCACUACGUGUAGUGUUUUGCAUGUACCAUUAUGAAUAAGCAUCGGCUAACUCCGUGCCAGCCGCCGCCGUAAUAC
Molecule: ribosomal RNA, 510 nt
Filed under: uncultured bacterium
Lineage: Bacteria
Description: bacterial SSU rRNA
Rfam family: Bacterial small subunit ribosomal RNA
Source: RNAcentral